This 205-nucleotide unclassified non-coding RNA is filed under the name Hevea brasiliensis (rubber tree). Lineage: Eukaryota; Viridiplantae; Streptophyta; Magnoliopsida; Malpighiales; Euphorbiaceae. The record is from RNAcentral.
UAUUAAAUGAAACUGAGACAGAAGGAAAUAUUAAGUGGAACUAAGACAUUGCUUGAAAAGAUUAGGUUGGGAAGAUAAAAAGCGAGAGAUUACAUAAUAUGUGUUAGUAUUGUGUUUCAAUUUGGGCUUUGUUGUUGCAUGAAAAAAAAUUUGCAAUUAGCUUGUAUUGUCUGGCAGAAUAUAUGUAAACUUUGUUGAAUUUUUG